GACGAACGCUGGCGGCGUGCUUAACACAUGCAAGUCGAGCGGUAAGGCCCUUCGGGGUACACGAGCGGCGAACGGGUGAGUAACACGUGGGUGACCUGCCCUCAGCUCUGGGAUAAGCCCGGGAAACUGGGUCUAAUACCGGAUAUGACCUUCUGUCGCAUGACGGUUGGUGGAAAGUUCUUCGGCUGGGGAUGGGCCCGCGGCCUAUCAGCUUGUUGGUGGGGUGAUGGCCUACCAAGGCGGNGGACGGGUAGGCCGGCCUGAGAGGGCGACCGGCCACACU
RNAcentral lists this ribosomal RNA (283 nucleotides) under uncultured bacterium. RNAcentral describes it as "partial 16S ribosomal RNA". It matches the Rfam family "Bacterial small subunit ribosomal RNA", at positions 28 to 314 of the family's 1533-position model. The record is from RNAcentral.